AAAACUUUCAACAACGGAUGUCUUGGCACAUACAACGAUGAAGAACGCAGCGAAAUGCGAUAAGUAAUGUGAAUUGCAGAAUUCCGUGAAUCAUCGAAUCUUUGAACGCACAUUGCGCCCUUUGGUAUUCCGAAGAGCAUGCCUGUUCGAGCGUCAUUG
This 159-nucleotide ribosomal RNA is filed under the name Rinodina bischoffii. Its description in RNAcentral is "5.8S ribosomal RNA". It matches the Rfam family "5.8S ribosomal RNA". Rfam says of the family: 5.8S ribosomal RNA (5.8S rRNA) is a component of the large subunit of the eukaryotic ribosome. The record is from RNAcentral. Lineage: Eukaryota; Fungi; Ascomycota; Lecanoromycetes; Caliciales; Physciaceae.